Molecule: ribosomal RNA, 318 nt
Filed under: Triticum aestivum (bread wheat)
Lineage: Eukaryota; Viridiplantae; Streptophyta; Magnoliopsida; Poales; Poaceae
Description: partial small subunit ribosomal RNA
Source: RNAcentral
AUGAUGGAGGGCGGCCCCGACGGCGUCGCCCGGAUCGAGCAGCAGCAAGCCAAACCAUCGCCGGAACAAGAAACGGCAGUGCUGCUCAGGAAGGAAAAAGGGCAAGAGGAAGCGAAUGGAAUGACGAACGGACGCAGAAGGGCAGCAGUAUUUAUAGGAAACGGCAGAAGAGAAGAAAUCAAAUUGGAAACGUGCAGCGAAGGCGGCGCAGAAAUACCCAGAGGAUUCCAUCGAAGCGGCAACCGCCAGCGCGAAGAGUCGGGAAGAUGCAAACGGCAGCCGACUCAAGCGAGCAUACGUGGCAGGAAACAGAGAUAA